This 292-nucleotide ribosomal RNA is filed under the name uncultured bacterium. Its description in RNAcentral is "partial 16S ribosomal RNA". It matches the Rfam family "Bacterial small subunit ribosomal RNA", at positions 505 to 796 of the family's 1533-position model. The record is from RNAcentral.
GUGCCAGCCGCCGCGGUAAAACGUAGGAGCCUAGCGUUAUCCGAAUUCACUGGGCGUAAAGCGCGUGCAGGCGGCUUGGUAAGUUGGAUGUGAAAUCUCUCGGCUCAACUGGGAGAGGACGUUCAAUACUGCCAGGCUAGAGGGCGGAAGAGGGAGGUGGAAUUCCCGGUGUAGUGGUGAAAUGCGUAGAUAUCGGGAGGAACACCAGUGGCGAAGGCGGCCUCCUAGGCCGCUCCUGACGCUCAGACGCGAAAGCUAGGGGAGCGAACGGGAUUAGAUACCCCAGUAGUCC